UUGGAGGGCAAGUCUGGUGCCAGCAGCCGCGGUAAUUCCAGCUCCAAUAGCGUAUAUUAAAGUUGUUGCAGUUAAAAAGCUCGUAGUUGAAUUUCGGGAUUAGUACGUCGGUCGUGCCUUAGGUACGUACUGGUGUUACUGGUUCCUACCUUCUGACGAACCAUCAUGUCAUUAAUUUGGUGUGGUGGGGAAUCAGGACUGUUACUUUGAAAAAAUUAGAGUGUUUAAAGCAGGCUCGCGCUUGAAUACAUUAGCAUGGAAUAAUGAAAUAGGACGUUGAUCCUAUUUUGUUGGUUUCUAGGAUUGACGUAAUGAUUAAUAGGGAUAGUUGGGGGCAUUAGUAUUCAAUUGUCAGAGGUGAAAUUCUUGGAUUUAUUGAAGACUAACUACUGCGAAAGCAUUUGCCAAGGAUGUUUUCAUUAAUCAAGAACGAAAGUUAGGGGAUCGAAGACGAUCAGAUACCGUCGUAGUCUUAACCAUAAACUAUGCCGACUAGGGAUCGGGUGAUGUUAUUUUUAAUGACUCAUUCGGCGCCUUACGGGAAAC
Molecule: ribosomal RNA, 546 nt
Filed under: uncultured Glomus
Lineage: Eukaryota; Fungi; Glomeromycota; Glomeromycetes; Glomerales; Glomeraceae
Description: SSU rRNA
Rfam family: Eukaryotic small subunit ribosomal RNA
Source: RNAcentral